RNAcentral lists this long non-coding RNA (1512 nucleotides) under Olea europaea subsp. europaea. The record is from RNAcentral. Lineage: Eukaryota; Viridiplantae; Streptophyta; Magnoliopsida; Lamiales; Oleaceae.
UGGAAAUCAGGCUGUUUAUGGACGAUUGUGAUAUGAUGCAGGGGAAGCACUGAAAUCAGACGUGUGAAAAGGAAAGAUUUACUAGAAACCUUAGAGAAAGAACUACCGAAAGGAACUAUUAGAUAUUCUUCUGAGCUCGUUUCCAUAGAGCAAUUGGGAAAUUUCAAAUUGGUGCACCUUGCAGAUGGUUCAGUUAUCAAAACCAAGGUAAAUUCGUGUUAUUUGAACAUAUAGCUUCCCAAUGUUUGUUUGUAAUCUGGUAUUUAUUGAUGCAUAAAUUGAUUAAUACGUAGAUCUUAUGCUUCAUUCUCGACCGACUAAUUAUAUUCUGAUCUUGUUUAAGGUCUUGAUUGGAUGUGAUGGAAUCAAUUCAAUCGUGGCAAAGUGGUUGGGACUUCAGAAUCCCGUUAAUGUUGGACGAUCAUCAAUUAGAGGCUUUCUUAGCUACCCCAAUGGCCAUGGCUUUGAGGCGAAGUUCCACGCAUAUUUUGGAGGAGGAAUUCGUUAUGGUUUUGUUCCUUGUGAUGACAAGAGCAUAUAUUGGUUUUGCACACUUACUCCAUCGAUUUUCAAUUGUAAGCAGUUUGACUUAUUGUUCCAAGUCUCAUGACAAAAGUUAAUACUUUCAGUAAAAUUUAAGCCUAGAAGUUGAAUACCAUAUGAAUAAAUUUUGCAUUGUAUUCAUUUAACGGAGUUUCUCCUCUCCAUUUACUGCAGAUGAUGAAAACGAGCAAAAUCCGCUCAAAAUGAAGCAAUUUGUAUUAAGCAAUAUUCAGAAUGCUCCGAAACAAGUAUCUGAUAUUGUAGAGAGAACCGAGCUUGAUUGCAUUUCUUAUUCUCCUCUAAAGUUUAGAUCACCAUGGAAUAUUCUACUUGGACAUAUUGUUCACAACAAUGUUUGUGUAGUUGGCGACGCCUUUCAUCCCAUGACACCAGAUAUUGGUCAAGGUGGGUGUUCAGCUUUAGAAGAUAGUGUCAUUCUUGCAAAAUGCCUUGCAGAAACUUUAUUGACAAAGGCAUCUGGCAACGAUAAAGAAGAUGGAGAAUAUGUGAAAAUGGAAAGGGGGCUGCAAAAGUAUGCAAAAGAGAGGAGAUGGAGAAGUUUUAGUCUUAUAAGCACGGCCUAUAUUGUUGGAAUGAUACAAGAGAGCAAUGGCAAGGUGAUCAGUUUCUUGAGGAAAUCCUUUUUGUCUAAAUAUACUGUUGGGAUUUUGAUGAGAAUGGCUGAUUUUGAUUGUGGGAAGCUAAAGAUUUCUUAAAAUAGCUUUAUUUUAUAUUAUGCACUAUUGUAAUAUAAAGCAAAACACGCAUGCCUUGCCCACCUGUUUAUAGAUCCCGGAGUUGAUAUACUUCCGCUUGUUUUCUCUUUCAUUCGAUAGAUAGAAGCUCGUAAUGAAAACUCUAUCAUUCUUUAUUGUUGUGGAAUCUCUAUAUUGUAUUUAUUGUUGAGAAAAUUGUACUGUUGAAGUGUGUUUUAACUUGGUUAUAUGCAAAUUUUUUAGUUAAAUAUCC